RNAcentral lists this ribosomal RNA (581 nucleotides) under Xylopsora friesii. Its description in RNAcentral is "eukaryotic LSU rRNA". It matches the Rfam family "Eukaryotic large subunit ribosomal RNA", at positions 65 to 661 of the family's 3401-position model. The record is from RNAcentral. Lineage: Eukaryota; Fungi; Ascomycota; Lecanoromycetes; Umbilicariales; Umbilicariaceae.
CCAACAGGGAUUGCCUCAGUAACGGCGAGUGAAGCGGCAACAGCUCAAAUUUGAAAUCUGGCUCUUUCAGGGUCCGAGUUGUAAUUUGUAGAGGAUGCUUCGGGUGCGGCGCCUGUCUAAGUUCCUUGGAACAGGACGUCAUAGAGGGUGAGAAUCCCGUACGUGACCGGCGACCAAGCCCAUGUGAAGCUCCUUCGACGAGUCGAGUUGUUUGGGAAUGCAGCUCUAAUUGGGUGGUAAAUUUCAUCUAAAGCUAAAUACCGGCCAGAGACCGAUAGCGCACAAGUAGAGUGAUCGAAAGAUGAAAAGCACUUUGGAAAGAGAGUUAAAAAGUACGUGAAAUUGUUGAAAGGGAAGCGCUUGCAACCAGACUUGCUCGCGGGUGAUCAGCUGCGGUUCUCCGCAGUGCACUCACCCGUGAUCAGGCCAGCAUCGGUUUGGGCGGUUGGAUAAAGGCCCCGGGAAUGUAGCUCCCUCCGGGGAGUGUUAUAGCCCGGGGUGCAAUGCGGCCAGCCCGGACCGAGGACCGCGCUUCGGCUAGGAUGCUGGCGUAAUGGUUGUAAGCGACCCGUCUUGAAACA